Molecule: ribosomal RNA, 484 nt
Filed under: uncultured Hyphomonas sp.
Lineage: Bacteria; Pseudomonadati; Pseudomonadota; Alphaproteobacteria; Hyphomonadales; Hyphomonadaceae
Description: bacterial SSU rRNA
Rfam family: Bacterial small subunit ribosomal RNA
Source: RNAcentral
ACGAGUGGUAAUACCGUAUACGCCCUUCGGGGGAAAGAUUUAUCGGUGAAAGAUCGGCCCGCGUUAGAUUAGCUAGUUGGUAGGGUAAUGGCCUACCAAGGCGACGAUCUAUAGCUGGUCUGAGAGGAUGAUCAGCCACACUGGGACUGAGACACGGCCCAGACUCCUACGGGAGGCAGCAGUGGGGAAUCUUGCACAAUGGGCGAAAGCCUGAUGCAGCCAUGCCGCGUGAAUGAUGAAGGCCUUAGGGUUGUAAAAUUCUUUCGCUAGGGAUGAUAAUGACAGUACCUAGUAAAGAAGCCCCGGCUAACUUCGUGCCAGCAGCCGCGGUAAUACGAAGGGGGCUAGCGUUGUUCGGAAUUACUGGGCGUAAAGCGCACGUAGGCGGACUUUUAAGUCAGAUGUGAAAUCCCGGGGCUCAACCUCGGAACUGCAUUUGAAACUGGAAGUCUAGAGACCAGGAGAGGUUAGCGGAAUACCGAGU